CGGCAGGCCUAACACAUGCAAGUAGAACGGUAACAGAGAGAGCUUGCUCUCUGCUGACGAGUUGCGAACGGGUGCGUAACGCGUAUGCAACCUACCCAUAACUGGGGAAUAGCCCAUAGAAAUGUGGAUUAAUACCCCAUAAUAUUUACCUUUGGCAUCAAAAGUAGAUUAAAACUCCGGUGGUUAUGGAUGGGCAUGCGUGACAUUAGCUUGUUGGUGAGGUAAUAGCUCACCAAGGCUACGAUGUCUAGGGGUUCUGAGAGGACAAUCCCCCACACUGGUACUGAGACACGGACCAGACUCCUACGGGAGGCAGCAGUGAGGAAUAUUGCGCAAUGGAGGAAACUCUGACGCAGCCAUGCCGCGUGCAGGACGAAUGCCCUAUGGGUUGUAAACUGCUUUUGUAUAGGAAGAAAAUUAACUACGUGUAGUUAACUGACGGU
RNAcentral lists this ribosomal RNA (443 nucleotides) under uncultured bacterium. Its description in RNAcentral is "bacterial SSU rRNA". It matches the Rfam family "Bacterial small subunit ribosomal RNA", at positions 40 to 476 of the family's 1533-position model. The record is from RNAcentral.